GGACUACUGGGGUAUCUAAUCCUGUUUGCUCCCCACGCUUUCGUGCAUGAGCGUCAGUCUUGACCCAGGGGGCUGCCUUCGCCAUCGGUAUUCCUCCACAUAUCUACGCAUUUCACUGCUACACGUGGAAUUCUACCCCCCUCUGCCAAACUCUAGCCGUGCAGUCACAAAUGCAGUUCCCAGGUUAAGCCCGGGCAUUUCACAUCUGUCUUACACAACCGCCUGCGCACGCUUUACGCCCAGUAAUUCCGAUUAACGCUCGCACCCUACGUAUUACCGCGGCUGCUGGCAC
This 292-nucleotide ribosomal RNA is filed under the name uncultured bacterium. Its description in RNAcentral is "partial 16S ribosomal RNA". The record is from RNAcentral.